This 2185-nucleotide ribosomal RNA is filed under the name Pseudomonas aeruginosa. Its description in RNAcentral is "bacterial LSU rRNA". It matches the Rfam family "Bacterial large subunit ribosomal RNA", at positions 469 to 2643 of the family's 2925-position model. Lineage: Bacteria; Pseudomonadati; Pseudomonadota; Gammaproteobacteria; Pseudomonadales; Pseudomonadaceae. The record is from RNAcentral.
AAUACUACUGACUGACCGAUAGUGAACCAGUACCGUGAGGGAAAGGCGAAAAGAACCCCGGAGAGGGGAGUGAAAUAGAACCUGAAACCGUAUGCGUACAAGCAGUGGGAGCCUACUUGUUAGGUGACUGCGUACCUUUUGUAUAAUGGGUCAGCGACUUAUAUUCAGUGGCAAGCUUAACCGUAUAGGGUAGGCGUAGCGAAAGCGAGUCUUAAUAGGGCGUUUAGUCGCUGGGUAUAGACCCGAAACCGGGCGAUCUAUCCAUGAGCAGGUUGAAGGUUAGGUAACACUGACUGGAGGACCGAACCCACUCCCGUUGAAAAGGUAGGGGAUGACUUGUGGAUCGGAGUGAAAGGCUAAUCAAGCUCGGAGAUAGCUGGUUCUCCUCGAAAGCUAUUUAGGUAGCGCCUCAUGUAUCACUCUGGGGGGUAGAGCACUGUUUCGGCUAGGGGGUCAUCCCGACUUACCAAACCGAUGCAAACUCCGAAUACCCAGAAGUGCCGAGCAUGGGAGACACACGGCGGGUGCUAACGUCCGUCGUGAAAAGGGAAACAACCCAGACCGCCAGCUAAGGUCCCAAAGUUGUGGUUAAGUGGUAAACGAUGUGGGAAGGCUUAGACAGCUAGGAGGUUGGCUUAGAAGCAGCCAUCCUUUAAAGAAAGCGUAAUAGCUCACUAGUCGAGUCGGCCUGCGCGGAAGAUGUAACGGGGCUCAAACCACACACCGAAGCUGCGGGUGUCACGCAAGUGACGCGGUAGAGGAGCGUUCUGUAAGCCUGUGAAGGUGAGUUGAGAAGCUUGCUGGAGGUAUCAGAAGUGCGAAUGCUGACAUGAGUAACGACAAUGGGUGUGAAAAACACCCACGCCGAAAGACCAAGGGUUCCUGCGCAACGUUAAUCGACGCAGGGUUAGUCGGUUCCUAAGGCGAGGCUGAAAAGCGUAGUCGAUGGGAAACAGGUUAAUAUUCCUGUACUUCUGGUUACUGCGAUGGAGGGACGGAGAAGGCUAGGCCAGCUUGGCGUUGGUUGUCCAAGUUUAAGGUGGUAGGCUGAAAUCUUAGGUAAAUCCGGGGUUUCAAGGCCGAGAGCUGAUGACGAGUCGUCUUUUAGAUGACGAAGUGGUUGAUGCCAUGCUUCCAAGAAAAGCUUCUAAGCUUCAGGUAACCAGGAACCGUACCCCAAACCGACACAGGUGGUCGGGUAGAGAAUACCAAGGCGCUUGAGAGAACUCGGGUGAAGGAACUAGGCAAAAUGGCACCGUAACUUCGGGAGAAGGUGCGCCGGCUAGGGUGAAGGAUUUACUCCGUAAGCUCUGGCUGGUCGAAGAUACCAGGCCGCUGCGACUGUUUAUUAAAAACACAGCACUCUGCAAACACGAAAGUGGACGUAUAGGGUGUGACGCCUGCCCGGUGCCGGAAGGUUAAUUGAUGGGGUUAGCGCAAGCGAAGCUCUUGAUCGAAGCCCCGGUAAACGGCGGCCGUAACUAUAACGGUCCUAAGGUAGCGAAAUUCCUUGUCGGGUAAGUUCCGACCUGCACGAAUGGCGUAACGAUGGCGGCGCUGUCUCCACCCGAGACUCAGUGAAAUUGAAAUCGCUGUGAAGAUGCAGUGUAUCCGCGGCUAGACGGAAAGACCCCGUGAACCUUUACUGUAGCUUUGCACUGGACUUUGAGCCUGCUUGUGUAGGAUAGGUGGGAGGCUUUGAAGCGUGGACGCCAGUUCGCGUGGAGCCAUCCUUGAAAUACCACCCUGGCAUGCUUGAGGUUCUAACUCUGGUCCGUGAUCCGGAUCGAGGACAGUGUAUGGUGGGCAGUUUGACUGGGGCGGUCUCCUCCUAAAGAGUAACGGAGGAGUACGAAGGUGCGCUCAGACCGGUCGGAAAUCGGUCGUAGAGUAUAAAGGCAAAAGCGCGCUUGACUGCGAGACAGACACGUCGAGCAGGUACGAAAGUAGGUCUUAGUGAUCCGGUGGUUCUGUAUGGAAGGGCCAUCGCUCAACGGAUAAAAGGUACUCCGGGGAUAACAGGCUGAUACCGCCCAAGAGUUCAUAUCGACGGCGGUGUUUGGCACCUCGAUGUCGGCUCAUCACAUCCUGGGGCUGAAGCCGGUCCCAAGGGUAUGGCUGUUCGCCAUUUAAAGUGGUACGCGAGCUGGGUUUAGAACGUCGUGAGACAGUUCGGUCCCUAUCU